Molecule: long non-coding RNA, 365 nt
Organism: Erigeron canadensis
Lineage: Eukaryota; Viridiplantae; Streptophyta; Magnoliopsida; Asterales; Asteraceae
Exons: 2
Source: RefSeq, a predicted model, not a curated record
UAUCGGGCGGUGUCGAUUCCAUUCCAAGUGUUUUCAGUAGGAAGCUCUUUUCCUGAAAAAGGAGACCGAAAUAUCUGGAUUUCACUGAAGUUUAAAAAACAUCCUACUGCUUAAAUUAUGUGGAUAAUCACAAAGAAAUUGCUAAAAGAACUUACGCUUUCUGAAAAGUGUGGGCUCGGAAUGCAUUGUGCCAUUGAUCUGAAAAAUGGAGUUACUUGAAGAGGCGAAUUAAACUCUGAACUUGGUAAAGGACAUACACCUCCAACAUCAUUGUUCAUUUCGUUUGUAGAUGGUAAAAUAUCUGUAACACAGACAAAUGUAUGUUACCAUGAUAAGAAAGCUAUAAUACUAGUACUUUUAUUUUA